CAUAACCUGAAAUGCUCGAUUCAACCUAGUAAUUUUGAACCUACAUUUACUUUAAACGGGAUUCCUAUUAUUGUCUAAUGGAUGUCAAGCCUUCAUUGCGCAGAGGACGGCAGAAGUUAUGAUUGCGGUUACCCACCUAGCUUUGCUAGGAGUCAAAAUACUGGGCCCGGCAUUUUGGGCAUAUU
This 185-nucleotide non-coding RNA is filed under the name Lachnospiraceae bacterium. Its description in RNAcentral is "6S RNA". It matches the Rfam family "6S / SsrS RNA". From Rfam's summary of the family: E. coli 6S RNA was the first non coding RNA to be sequenced, but its function was unknown until recently. It consists of 184 nucleotides that fold into an extended hairpin structure with a large single-stranded internal bulge. Lineage: Bacteria; Bacillati; Bacillota; Clostridia; Lachnospirales; Lachnospiraceae. The record is from RNAcentral.